UUCGCAAUGCCCGAAAGGGUGACGAAGCGACGCCGCGUGCGGGAAGAAGGCCUUCGGGUUGUAAACCGCUGUCGGGAGUUAGGAAAUGCAAGGAUGUUAAUAGCGUCUUUGCUUGACUAAGGCUCCGGAGGAAGCCACGGCUAACUCUGUGCCAGCAGCCGCGGUAAUACAGAGGCGGCAAGCGUUGUUCGGAGUUAUUGGGCGUAAAGAGCACGUAGGCGGCCGUGUAAGUCGGUUGUGAAAGCCUUCCGCUCAACAGGAGAACGGCAUCCGAUACUGCAUGGCUCGAGUGCGGGAGGGGAGAGUGGAACUUCUGGUGGAGCGGUGAAAUGCGUAGAUACCAGAAGGAACACCGGCGGCGAAGGCGACUCUCUGGCCCGUAACUGACGCUGAGUGUGCGAAAGCUAGGGGAGCAAACGGGAUUAGAUACCCCGGUAGUCCUAGCCGUAAACGAUGGGCACUAAGUAGAGGGGUUUU
RNAcentral lists this ribosomal RNA (477 nucleotides) under uncultured bacterium. RNAcentral describes it as "bacterial SSU rRNA". It matches the Rfam family "Bacterial small subunit ribosomal RNA", at positions 365 to 832 of the family's 1533-position model. The record is from RNAcentral.